AUGCUCACAGCCCAUCUGCCCAUCGCUCUCAUUAACUUCCCCAUCUCCCUCCAACAUCUCUUUUGCUCUCCCAUAUCCUCCUCCGUCCUCGUCUCCGGCGACAUGUCCGCUUCAUCUUCAUCAUCUCUCCUCGUCCCGGCGGACUGGCUGCUACCCCUGAUGGCAUGUCCACUCUGCGGCCACGAGUUAGUGACAGCCGUCGCAAGGAGUGGGAACAACGUUGGGCAUCGAUUCUACAAGUGCAUUCGCUACGAUUCAAGGCAGUGCCGUUUCUUCGAGUUCCAGCGUGCGUACUGCAUGAGGAUGACUCAUGAGCAGAUCCUGGCUGUGCAGCACCAGGCCGGAUGGCACCCACCCGGGUUUGGAUUUGCGCCCCAGCAGGGCAAUGGUCCUUCUCAGAUGGUUCCUGCUGCCAUCCAGCCCCAGAUCCAGGCGCAAUUGCAGCCGCAGAUGCAGCCGCAGACGCAGCCUCAGAUCCAGGCUCCGAUGCAGCAGCUUCCCCCGGCGGGCAACAAUAUGAUAGCUGACGCUGGAAGGCCUGCUGCCGGAGUCGGAGCAGCUUAUGGAGCACAAGGCCUAGCUGCAGUUGUCGUUCUUAUGGCUGCAGUGAACAUCAUGCUAACUGUUCUGCUGUUGAUGGUUGUGUUAGCUAAGUAA
This 657-nucleotide ribosomal RNA is filed under the name Triticum aestivum (bread wheat). RNAcentral's name for it is "partial small subunit ribosomal RNA". The record is from RNAcentral. Lineage: Eukaryota; Viridiplantae; Streptophyta; Magnoliopsida; Poales; Poaceae.